GUGAACUUGUUCAGGAAAGGUAAAGGUACUUGAAAUUUUUUUUUUCAAGCUGGUUUAAGCAGCACAAUUUGAGGAAUGUGGAGGGAAGAGUUAGAAAUACUUGGUAUCGGUUUGAAUUUCUUUGUUAUGCCUUCAUAUAUGUAUUGACAGACAACCAGAAGAACUGAGACCUCAAGAAAGAGACAACUCAAGUCCAAAAUCUCCUUGCCUUAUUGAAGUCCAUGAACAGACUUUUCAUCAAGCAGUCAUCUCCUCUCUGUGGCAUUAUAAGUGCCCCAGUUUCUUCCUUUCAGGUUUACUCUGGUUGUUUUAAAAGAAUAAAUGGGGUAUGAAUAUUUAAGAUCCAAAAAGCUGUCAUUUUUCUUCAUUAACUUUUUCUCUCCUUAUCCUGCAGGUAUUUCCCUCGAGAAGAUGGAAAUGCCUGUGACCACUUUGGAUUCAUAAUCCUGAAGCAUUUUUUAAAUCUAGAUAUCCAAACCCUAUCUUAAAAAUACUAGUAAGGAUUCACUCAUAUGAACAGACUGAAGGAAGAACCACAACUUCUUGUUUAUUAUUAUUAUUAAUAUUAUGAUUAAUAUUAUUCUUAUUUACUGAUCUGUGAAUACUUGCAGAGGACAUGGGUACUGUGAGUUGUAGGGGAUCCAAAUGAGUCAGAGAGAUAAUAAUGAGGUGGUUGUCAUGUGCAUGCCCAAUACUGAGGGCACUCCCUUCAAAAAGGGACAAUAUCUUAAGCUUAGAUUUCCACUUGAAAACGUGAUUAUUUAUUUAACGAGAGCAUUAUGUAAAAUAUGCCCUAUCUAAAUCUCAAAUCUGUGCCCAAAUCGGAGUUUCCCAAGUUUCUAUUUCUUUUUAAUGACUAACCAAUCAAAACAUACCUUUGCAGAACACAUGAAACCAAUGAAUAAUCUUCCAGUGGAGCAAAUUCUUUUCCCAGCAGCCACAAUGAAUAAACAACUUUCAAGCGAGAUCGAGACUACUUGGGAUUCUUUCUGAUUCAGUUGUGCACAUAUGGACUGAUGCCAGUGGAACCAGUGGAAUGUCUCUGGGUAUACAUUCACUGUGACUGAGGUAUCCUGAUGAUUUUAAUCAAUUAAAAUAGCUGAAUGAAGCUGAGCCAGGGUGGGGGACAAAUAGGAAGGCUGUGGCAAGACAGGAAACAUGUCCCUAAAAGCCAGGCAACGCCACAGAUGAUGAUUUUUUCCAUUUAAUGAAAAAAAUACAUAUAGUCAAGAGCUUGACUGAAAACCCAGUGGAAUCAGUGCAAGUCUUUCCUUUGACUACAGUGAGAUUGGAAUCAAGACUUACAUGGUUGUGGAUUAUCCAUAAGGGCCAUCUUCUCCGUGUGAAAUUAGUGCACCAGAGUCAAGGGCAGAAAAAAAACGCAGAGACAGACUUCCCCAAGUCACAACACCCCACGGGGACCAGCUGACGUUGGGAAAGCCGAGAAGUGAGCCAUUAAAGUCCGGCCUGGGAUUGACACUGACCUAGGCCUGCCAUCCGGCAUUGUCCUGCCAUCUGCACAGACGUGAACUUUGCCUCGAAAAUUUGGCUUCUCAAUUAACAUGUCCAGCUGGGGGGAGAAUUCCGUCAUUUGCCUAAUAUCAUUAUUGCCAC
Myiozetetes cayanensis is the source of this 1614-nucleotide long non-coding RNA. RefSeq lists it as uncharacterized. NCBI's taxonomy places the organism in Eukaryota, Metazoa, Chordata, Aves, Passeriformes, Tyrannidae. The transcript is spliced from 5 exons. The record is from RefSeq and is a predicted model, not a curated record.